This 253-nucleotide ribosomal RNA is filed under the name uncultured bacterium. RNAcentral's name for it is "partial 16S ribosomal RNA". It matches the Rfam family "Bacterial small subunit ribosomal RNA", at positions 524 to 776 of the family's 1533-position model. The record is from RNAcentral.
UACGAAGGGGGCUAGCGUUGCUCGGAAUCACUGGGCGUAAAGCGCACGUAGGCGGCUUCUUAAGUCAGGGGUGAAAUCCUGGAGCUCAACUCCAGAACUGCCUUUGAUACUGAGGAGCUUGAGUCCGGGAGAGGUGAGUGGAACUGCGAGUGUAGAGGUGAAAUUCGUAGAUAUUCGGCGGAACACCAGUGGCGAAGGCGACUCACUGGCCCGAUACUGACGCUGAGGCGCGAAAGCGUGGGGAGCAAACAGG